RNAcentral lists this transfer RNA (73 nucleotides) under Helianthus annuus (common sunflower). RNAcentral's name for it is "tRNA HanXRQr2_Chr09g0405131". Lineage: Eukaryota; Viridiplantae; Streptophyta; Magnoliopsida; Asterales; Asteraceae. The record is from RNAcentral.
GAUGACCCAGCUCAGUUGGUUGUGCGUGCAGUUGCUGAAACUGGUGACCCGGGUUCGAGUCCCGUGGUCAGUG